GCCAGAAUGGUGGAAUUGGUAGACACAAGGGACUUAAAAUCCCUCGGCUCUGAGCUGUACGGGUUCGACCCCCGUUUCUGGCA
This 83-nucleotide transfer RNA is filed under the name Spirochaetales bacterium. RNAcentral's name for it is "tRNA-Leu". It matches the Rfam family "tRNA". Rfam says of the family: Transfer RNA (tRNA) molecules are approximately 80 nucleotides in length. Their secondary structure includes four short double-helical elements and three loops (D, anti-codon, and T loops). Lineage: Bacteria; Pseudomonadati; Spirochaetota; Spirochaetia; Spirochaetales. The record is from RNAcentral.